RNAcentral lists this ribosomal RNA (431 nucleotides) under uncultured Alphaproteobacteria bacterium. Its description in RNAcentral is "bacterial SSU rRNA". It matches the Rfam family "Bacterial small subunit ribosomal RNA", at positions 29 to 505 of the family's 1533-position model. The record is from RNAcentral. Lineage: Bacteria; Pseudomonadati; Pseudomonadota; Alphaproteobacteria.
AACGAACGCUGGCGGCAGGCCUAACACAUGCAAGUCGAACGACCUCUUCGGAGGGAGUGGCAGACGGGUGAGGAACACGUGGGAACCUACCUAGAGGUAAGGAAUAACUUCGGGAAACCGGAGCUAAUACCUUAUACGCCCUCAGGGGGAAAGAUUUAUCGCCUUUAGAUGGGCCCGCGUCUGAUUAGCUAGUUGGUGAGGUAAUGGCUCACCAAGGCGACGAUCAGUAGCUGGUUUGAGAGGAUGAUCAGCCACACUGGGACUGAGACACGGCCCAGACUCCUACGGGAGGCAGCAGUGGGGAAUAUUGGACAAUGGGCGCAAGCCUGAUCCAGCCAUGCCGCGUGAGUGACGAAGGCCUUAGGGUUGUAAAACUCUUUCGCUAGGGAAGAUAAUGACGGUACCUAGUAAAGAAGCCCCGGCUAACUCCG